UACAGAGGGGGCAAGCGUUAUUCGGAAUUAUUGGGCGUAAAGGGCGCGUAGGCGGCAUGGCAAGUGGAUGGUGAAAUCCCUCGGCUUAACCGAGGAACUGCCGUCCAAACUGCUUCGCUUGAGACCGGGAGAGGCGAGUGGAAUUCCCAGUGUAGCGGUGAAAUGCGUAGAUAUUGGGAGGAACACCAGUGGCGAAGGCGGCUCACUGGACCGGUACUGACGCUGAUGCGCGAAAGCGUGGGGAGCAAACGGG
RNAcentral lists this ribosomal RNA (253 nucleotides) under uncultured bacterium. RNAcentral's name for it is "partial 16S ribosomal RNA". It matches the Rfam family "Bacterial small subunit ribosomal RNA", at positions 524 to 776 of the family's 1533-position model. The record is from RNAcentral.